AAACCUAAAUCGCUGAGUUCUGAAAAAGAAGCGGGGAAACCAUAGAGUGCUGAUCAUACGAUCUAAUCUCAGGGGUGAAUAACUUCAUUUACGAAGUUUAGGGCGACUUUUGCGCCCGAAUCCGUCAGCUAACCUCGUAAGCGUCCAGAAGAGGAAUU
This 158-nucleotide small RNA is filed under the name Bacillus sp. (in: firmicutes). Its description in RNAcentral is "Bacillus sp. c-di-AMP sequence". It matches the Rfam family "c-di-AMP riboswitch aptamer (ydaO/yuaA leader)". From Rfam's summary of the family: This family represents a conserved RNA structure found upstream of the ydaO and yuaA genes in Bacillus subtilis and related genes in other bacteria. The ydaO/yuaA element is thought to act as a genetic "off" switch for the ydaO and yuaA genes in its native state. Lineage: Bacteria; Bacillati; Bacillota; Bacilli; Caryophanales; Bacillaceae. RNAcentral also lists the same sequence under 1 other name. The record is from RNAcentral.